RNAcentral lists this ribosomal RNA (640 nucleotides) under uncultured Bacteroidota bacterium. RNAcentral's name for it is "bacterial SSU rRNA". It matches the Rfam family "Bacterial small subunit ribosomal RNA", at positions 9 to 644 of the family's 1533-position model. Lineage: Bacteria; Pseudomonadati; Bacteroidota. The record is from RNAcentral.
GAGUUUGAUCCUGGCUCAGGAUGAACGCUAGCGACAGGCCUAACACAUGCAAGUCGAGGGGUAACAGGGACAGCAAUGUCUGCUGACGACCGGCGCACGGGUGCGUAACACGUAUGCAAUCUGCCUGUAAGCGGGGGAUAACCCGGAGAAAUCCGGACUAAUACCGCAUAAUACUGUAAUUUCGCAUGGAGAUACAGUUAAACAUUUAUGGCUUACAGAUGAGCAUGCGCAUGAUUAGCUUGUUGGUGAGGUAACGGCUCACCAAGGCAUCGAUCAUUAGGGGUUCUGAGAGGAAGGUCCCCCACACUGGAACUGAGACACGGUCCAGACUCCUACGGGAGGCAGCAGUGAGGAAUAUUGGUCAAUGGACGGAAGUCUGAACCAGCCACGUCGCGUGAAGGAUGACUGCCCUAUGGGUUGUAAACUUCUUUUAUACAGGAAUAAAGUGCAUCACGCGUGGUGUUUUGUAUGUACUGUAUGAAUAAGCAUCGGCUAACUCCGUGCCAGCAGCCGCGGUAAUACGGAGGAUGCGAGCGUUAUCCGGAUUUAUUGGGUUUAAAGGGUGCGUAGGCGGGAUAAUAAGUCAGUGGUGAAAGUUUGCAGCUCAACUGUAAAAUUGCCAUUGAAACUGUUAUUCUUG